AGAGUUUGAUCAGUGGCUCAGGACGAACGCUGGCGGCGUGCUUAACACAUGCAAGUCGAACGGAAAGGCCCUGCUUUUGUGGGGUGCUCGAGUGGCGAACGGGUGAGUAACACGUGAGUAACCUGCCCUUGACUUUGGGAUAACUUCAGGAAACUGGGGCUAAUACCGGAUAGGAGCUCCUGCUGCAUGCUGGGGGUUGGAAAGUUUCGGCGGUUGGGGAUGGACUCGCGGCUUAUCAGCUUGUUGGUGGGGUAGUGGCUUACCAAGGCUUUGACGGGUAGCCGGCCUGAGAGGGUGACCGGCCACAUUGGGACUGAGAUACGGCCCAGACUCCUACGGGAGGCAGCAGUGGGGAAUAUUGCACAAUGGGCGGAAGCCUGAUGCAGCAACGCCGCGUGCGGGAUGACGGCCUUCGGGUUGUAAACCGCUUUCGCCUGUGACGAAGCGUGAGUGACGGUAAUGGGUAAAGAAGCACCGGCUAACUACGUG
Molecule: ribosomal RNA, 489 nt
Filed under: uncultured bacterium
Lineage: Bacteria
Description: bacterial SSU rRNA
Rfam family: Bacterial small subunit ribosomal RNA
Source: RNAcentral